AACAGGAUUAGAUACCCUGGUAGUCCACGCUGUAAACGAUGUCGACUUGGAGGUUGUGCCCUUGAGGCGUGGCUUCCGGAGCUAACGCGUUAAGUCGACCGCCUGGGGAGUACGGCCGCAAGGUUAAAACUCAAAUGAAUUGACGGGGGCCCGCACAAGCGGUGGAGCAUGUGGUUUAAUUCGAUGCAACGCGAAGAACCUUACCUACUCUUGACAUCCAGAGAAUUUGCUAGAGAUAGCUUAGUGCCUUCGGGAACUCUGAGACAGGUGCCGCAUGGCUGUCGUCAGCUCGUGUUGUGAAAUGUUGGGUUAAGUCCCGCAACGAGCGCAACCCUUAUCCUUUGUUGCCAGCACGUAAUGGUGGGGACUCAAGGGAGACUGCCGGUGAUAAACCGGAGGAAGGUGGGGAUGACGUCAAGUCAUCAUGGCCCUUACGAGUAGGGCUACACACGUGCUACAAUGGCAUAUACAAAGAGAAGCGAACUCGCGAGAGCAAGCGGACCUCAUAAAGUGUGUCGUAGUCCGGAUUGGAGUCUGCAACUCGACUCCAUGAAGUCGGAAUCGCUAGUAAUCGUAGAUCAGAAUGCUACGGUGAAUACGUUCCCGGGCCUUGUACACACCGCCCGUCACACCAUGGGAGUGGGUUGCAAAAGAAGUAGGUAGCUUAACCUUCGGGAGGGCGCUUACCACUUUGUGAUUCAUGACUGGGGUGAAGUCGUAACAAGGUAACC
This 731-nucleotide ribosomal RNA is filed under the name uncultured bacterium. RNAcentral's name for it is "bacterial SSU rRNA". It matches the Rfam family "Bacterial small subunit ribosomal RNA", at positions 771 to 1501 of the family's 1533-position model. The record is from RNAcentral.